AUUGAACGCUGGCGGCAGGCCUAACACAUGCAAGUCGAGCGGAUGAAGGGAGCUUGCUCCUGGAUUCAGCGGCGGACGGGUGAGUAAUGCCUAGGAAUCUGCCUGGUAGUGGGGGAUAACGUCCGAAACGGGCGCUAAUAACGCCUACGUCCCGAGGGAGAAAGUGGGGGAUCUUUGGAACUUACGCUUUCAGCUGAGCCUAGGUCGGAUUAGAUAGUUGGUGGGGUAAAGGCCUACCAAGGCGACGAUCCGUAACUGGUCUGAGAGGAUGAUCAGUCACACUGGAACUGAGACACGGUCCAGACUCCUACGGGAGGCAGCAGUGGGGAAUAUUGGACAAAGGGCGAAAGCCUGAUCCAGCCAUGCCGCGUGUGUGAAGAAGGUCUUCGGAUUGUAAAGCACUUUAAGUUGGGAGGAAGGGCAGUAAGUUAAUACCUUGCUGUUUUGACGUUACCAACAGAAUAAGCACCGGCUAACUUCGUG
Molecule: ribosomal RNA, 483 nt
Filed under: uncultured bacterium
Lineage: Bacteria
Description: partial 16S ribosomal RNA
Rfam family: Bacterial small subunit ribosomal RNA
Source: RNAcentral